RNAcentral lists this ribosomal RNA (935 nucleotides) under uncultured bacterium. Its description in RNAcentral is "bacterial SSU rRNA". It matches the Rfam family "Bacterial small subunit ribosomal RNA", at positions 52 to 979 of the family's 1533-position model. The record is from RNAcentral.
CACAUGCAAGUCGAGGGGCAGCGGGAUUGAAGCUUGCUUCAAUUGCCGGCGACCGGCGCACGGGUGAGUAACGCGUAUCCAACCUUCCGUACACUCAGGGAUAGCCUUUCGAAAGAAAGAUUAAUACCUGAUGGUAUGAUGAGAUUGCAUGAUAGCAUCAUUGAAGAUUCAUCGGUGUACGAUGGGGAUGCGUUCCAUUAGGUAGUAGGCGGGGUAACGGCCCACCUAGCCUACGAUGGAUAGGGGUUCUGAGAGGAAGGUCCCCCACAUUGGAACUGAGACACGGUCCAAACUCCUACGGGAGGCAGCAGUGAGGAAUAUUGGUCAAUGGACGAGAGUCUGAACCAGCCAAGUAGCGUGAAGGAUGAAGGUCCUACGGAUUGUAAACUUCUUUUAUAAGGGAAUAAAACCUCCCACGUGUGGGAGCUUGUAUGUACCUUAUGAAUAAGCAUCGGCUAACUCCGUGCCAGCAGCCGCGGUAAUACGGAGGAUGCGAGCGUUAUCCGGAUUUAUUGGGUUUAAAGGGAGCGCAGACGGGUCGUUAAGUCAGCUGUGAAAGUUUGGGGCUCAACCUUAAAAUUGCAGUUGAUACUGGCGUCCUUGAGUGCGGUUGAGGUGUGCGGAAUUCGUGGUGUAGCGGUGAAAUGCUUAGAUAUCACGAAGAACUCCGAUUGCGAAGGCAGCACACUAAGCCGUAACUGACGUUCAUGCUCGAAAGUGUGGGUAUCAAACAGGAUUAGAUACCCUGGUAGUCCACACGGUAAACGAUGGAUACUCGCUGUUGGCGAUAUACCGUCAGCGGCUUAGCGAAAGCGUUAAGUAUCCCACCUGGGGAGUACGCCGGCAACGGUGAAACUCAAAGGAAUUGACGGGGGCCCGCACAAGCGGAGGAACAUGUGGUUUAAUUCGAUGAUACGCGAGGAACCUUACCCGGG